ACUACGGGAGGCAGCAGUGAGGAAUAUUGGUCAAUGGGCGGAAGCCUGAACCAGCCAAGUAGCGUGCAGGAUGACGGCCCUACGGGUUGUAAACUGCUUUUAUACGGGAAUAACGCGCCUUACGUGUAGGGCUUUGCAUGUACCGCAUGAAUAAGGACCGGCUAAUUCCGUGCCAGCAGCCGCGGUAAUACGGAAGGUCCGGGCGUUAUCCGGAUUUAUUGGGUUUAAAGGGAGCGUCGGCCGCAUGUCAAGCGUGCUGUGAAAUGUCCGGGCUCAACCCGGGCCUUGCAGCGCGAACUGGCGUGCUUGAGUCCGCGGAAAGCAGGCGGAAUUCGUCGUGUAGCGGUGAAAUGCUUAGAUAUGACGAAGAACCCCGAUUGCGAAGGCAGCUUGCUGCAGCGGAACUGACGCUGAUGCUCGAAAGCGCGGGUAUCGAACAGGAUUAGAUACCCCGGUAGUC
RNAcentral lists this ribosomal RNA (460 nucleotides) under uncultured bacterium. Its description in RNAcentral is "partial 16S ribosomal RNA". It matches the Rfam family "Bacterial small subunit ribosomal RNA", at positions 338 to 795 of the family's 1533-position model. The record is from RNAcentral.